Long non-coding RNA from Patella vulgata (common limpet), 2842 nucleotides. RefSeq lists it as uncharacterized. NCBI's taxonomy places the organism in Eukaryota, Metazoa, Mollusca, Gastropoda, Patellidae. The transcript has 9 exons. The record is from RefSeq and is a predicted model, not a curated record.
UGCUAAUUCAUAUAAAUUUAUUGGGAGGCAUAUUUUAAUUGUAAAUCAGCCAUUUCAUACAACGUCAGACAAAAAACACUUAAUAGUGUCAUCAUAAUUUAUUAUGAGUUAAUAUGUCUGUCCUGUAGUAAUUUUGUUUUCAGAUGGGCUGCACCAGAAAGACUGUUGUCUGACCAAGGUCGUGAAUUUGUUUCGCAAGUCAAUGCAGAGUUGUUUAAAGAAUUUAGCAUUAAACAUUCGAUAACCAGUGCCACCACCCACAAACAAAUGGUUUAGAUGAACGAACCAACAAGACAUUAAAGACAAGAUUGGGGAAAUUUAAGAUGAGGUGGCAUUUUCGAUGAGAAUUCAGAAACAGGUAUCAACCAAAUUUACAUCAUUUUUCCUCAUGUUCGGACGACACCCAAGAACUCCUCAACAGAUAAUAGAUAACACUGAUAUACCUGAAAUAGACAUUGAUGAUAUAGUGGCCAGCAGAGAGGGAAACCAAAAUGUUAUACAUGAACAGGUACUAAAUAAUAUCAGUGUGGCUCAUAACAAGCAGAAAGCUAAAUUUGAAAAGAGAAAGGGGAACAAUGUAAAGGUCUUUCAGCUUUCUGAAAGGGAUAUUGUUUUAAGAAAAGAAACCAAAAAUAUAGGCAGAAAAGGAGAGGAGAUGGAUGCGAAAUGAAAAGGCCCCUACAGAAUAAUUUCCAUCGACUCUGCACAACGUAUGGAAUUGGAGACCAUCACAAACCCAGUUACUAAAUUAAAGUAUAAAGUGCCCUAUGGCCAGUUGAAACCAUAUAGAUCAAAUGAAGUACCUUUAAUAAACUUUUUUAGAUAUUCAGACACCUUCUAAGAGUGGAAAUAAUAAUAUUGAGAAAGAAGCAUGGAAUGUUUUAGAUAAUCAGAGACCUACUACAAGUGGUAUAAAUGUCCAGAAAGAAAAUGGGAAUGGUAUUAAAAUUCAGGAAUUAUUGCAUCGACUCUUGGACAGUGCUACAGCCGAAUCUGUGAUGAAAGGAAAUUACAAGGCGGAUGAGGAGGACAUCGAAGUUCAGCCAGAAUAUACACAGAACAAACAACUAAUGUUGGAUAAUUCUUUAAUGUCAUCUUGUGAACAGUUCUUCACGGAAUAUGGGUGGUUUGCUGUUCAGUCUGUGGCAAAAGCCAUUAAACAGAUUAUAACCAAAGGAGAAAUCAAGUAACAAAGAAGGAAACCAAUCUUCUCUGAAUAUAUCAUAAUUACCAGAUGGAGUAUUGUGUGAAAUUUUCCAAUGUUGUUUUAACUUGUGGUGACGAAGCAUAUCUAAGAUUGUUAUUAUUCAACAGAAGAUUUGCAGAAGUGAUUAACAGACAAUCUUUUAAAUCUACCUGUCAUUUCGCCUGGCUACGCAGUAUUAAACCAAUUAGUUAUCAGAAAGGUUACCAAAAUAAAGAAUUUUAUGUGCCAUUUAAACUAAAGAAAUGUGGGUUUUGUGAAAUGCUAUAUAAAGAAGAGCGUCCAGGAUACUGGGGUGAGAGGGGUAAAUAUGGGGAUUAUAUAAGCUUUGUUAAUGAAAUGGGUUUCACUGGUUACUGCAGCUACCACUGUCGAAGAAUGCAGGAGCCAGAAUGGCAUGACAAGUGGGAGUGAAUAGCAAUGUUAAUAGAUGAAUGUAUAUAAUGUUAAUAGUUUGUAUUUUUAUUAUUGGUCAAUAUUUUUUUUCUUACAUAACUUUUUUUAUUGUAUUUGUUCUUUGCUUGUAAAAAUUUAUUUGUUUAUUGUGCUGAUGUAUUACAUGGUUCAAUGAGGACAAUCACUGAAAGGCCUUAGGUAUGAUCUAUACUAGGGUCCCAAAACUUUACUCAACUUUAUUCACAUUGUAUGUUUUAAUCUUAUAUCUAUCUGUUUUGUCAAUUUUUUUUAAUAAUCUGUUAUGUUUUUUAUAAAGUGUCAUUGGACACUUUUGUGGAAAUGCCACUAUAUAAAUGCUUGUUAAUAAUAUUAAUAAACCCCAAAAAUCAUUUGCAAAGAUUUAUUUUUCAUAUUUAGUCUAAGCGAUUAUAAUGUAUUCAUAACCUUUUGUUUAUAUUUUGUUACAUACUUUCUUAAAUAUCAUCCACUAUUUAUGUACUGUAUGCUUUCGUAUAGGGUGUUUUAUGUAAUUAAAGAUACAUUAUGUAAGGUUUAGAUAAAGAGCUGACCAUUCUUGCCAUAAUAGCUCAAAAAAAGAUAAUGUAAAAUGAAUAAUUUGAACAUUUCAUUCAAAUUACUCUAUUUCGAGCAAAGAGAUAUUAGCCUUUGAAGGUGCAAUAAUUGCAACCACCGUCCUGGUUGUUGAAGUUAAGUCUCGCUUCUCCAUUUUCAAAUUGAAUCAAAAUAUGGCUAAACCGUUCUAAUUUGUUUAAUAACAAAGAAAUCUGAUGCAAUAAAGAGUUGAUUAUGGCCUGGAUUUUGUCUGAAUUUAUAAUUGUGGGCUAAAGAAAGACCCACAACAGGCAGAUUUAGCUUUUGCAUAAUGCAUGUUUAAAAUCUGUCUAUAAAAUUAUCCAUACUGGAUCAAACCAGGAUGUAGCUUGGCGUUUGACUCAUUGAUAUUGAGUCACAAAUAAGUAACGAAAGGGAUCACUUAAUUUCCAGUGGUGUAAUAUCUUUUUUGUUAAAAAUGUAUAAAUCACUUUUCUGUUAAAAAUGCAUAAAUCACCUUUUUGUUAAAAAUUUAUCAAUCAUUUUUUUGUUAAAAAUUUAUAAAUCACUUUUUGAUGUUUUAACUAUGUUUUAAUAAUCAACUAUUUUGCAGACUGAAUAUUUGGCUUUUCAGAUUGGGAUUUCUCUGUAUCAUUUUUAUUUUAAUUUUGUACUUCCUAUUAAAAUGUU